GCAUGCGGCCACACUGGCCUGAGUACGCCUGAUCUCGUCCGAUCUCGGAAGCUAAGCAGGGUCGGGCCUGGUUAGUACUUGGAUGGGAGACCGCCUGGGAAUACCAGGUGCUGUAAGCU
Molecule: ribosomal RNA, 119 nt
Organism: Oncorhynchus mykiss (rainbow trout)
Lineage: Eukaryota; Metazoa; Chordata; Actinopteri; Salmoniformes; Salmonidae
Source: Ensembl